This is a long non-coding RNA of Cynoglossus semilaevis (tongue sole), 155 nucleotides long. RefSeq lists it as uncharacterized. The transcript has 2 exons. The record is from RefSeq and is a predicted model, not a curated record. NCBI's taxonomy places the organism in Eukaryota, Metazoa, Chordata, Actinopteri, Pleuronectiformes, Cynoglossidae.
GUGGAGGGGUCAAAAAAAAAAAAAAAAGGUAUCAAUUCUAGGGCUGUAGGUUGACCCCACAGUCAAAUAGUCAGUUAUAGGUUUUCAAUUAUAACAAACUGAUUAGUGUCUCUGACCCACAUUCAGUCCCACUGGGGAAAGGGGGAAACAAAAAA